RNAcentral lists this transfer RNA (55 nucleotides) under Physaloptera rara. RNAcentral's name for it is "tRNA-Ile". Lineage: Eukaryota; Metazoa; Nematoda; Chromadorea; Rhabditida; Physalopteridae. The record is from RNAcentral.
AAUUAUUUAGUUUAAGUUAAAAUGGGGUUUUGAUGGGGCCUAGAUUUAAUAAUUA